AGGAACUUGGGCCCUAAUUGGUGAAUACAGGGGUGUAGGCCCGAAUUCAGGAUGAUAGGAUAACCACACAAAAAAACGGUUGGGCCUGGUGAGUCUCCUCCUUCUUCUGCACUAUUUCGCUUCUCCUUCGUCUCUUCUGUUCUUUCUUUUCUUCUGAGUUUGUCGUUGCGUGAGUCGAUUCGGUAUGAACCAAUGCUCUGUGUGAAUCAAUGUGUGCGGAUGAGGCCUGGCUCAAGCACAAUUGGAGCUUCGAUAUGAAGCUCCAUGGGCUUCCUAAUAGAGCUUUGUGUGAGGGUUUCGAGGGAGUUAUGAGAAUGAGGGAGAUGAGUGAAUCUCGAAAAUUCUAGAAAUGGUGAAAAUGCAACGUAACCGUUAAUGAUUGAAGAGUGAUUGGUAUUUAUAGAGUUCUGGUUUGCAAAUUCAGUUAGAAAUGCAAAUCCAAAUUCCUAUGAAAUUCACAUUGAGUUGGUUAGAAAUGUAGAAAAUCUGUUAGAGUGGUUGUGAUUCUCUGUGGUGAAUUCCUGUAAGUUUAUUGUGGUCUCCAAUUGUGUUCUGCUAAAGUGAAAUUUGCAGGGUUAUCCGUUCUGCUGAAUUUUUCUGCUAUGUGUUAUGCAGGUGGAAAUAUUAGGUAGGAAGGAGCUUGAUUUAAUCUGCAGGGUUAGCUAGAUGUUAGCAUUAUCAUGUUAUGUGUAAUUGGUUACUGGAUUGUUAGUGAUAUUGAUAGUUAGGUUAGCUACAAAAUCAGUUAUUUGCAUUGUUAGUGAAGUGUUUAGUUAAGGUUUAGUUAGCAGGAAAAUCAAUAUGUUAAAACAGUUAGUGAUAAAAAAGUAGAAGGUUAUUGAAUGAGCUAGUAUAAAACAGUUAGAAUGGAAAUUGGAUUUUUUACUAGCAAUGCUAAAACAGUUAGGAUGCAUUUCCUAAUAAUAAUC
This 929-nucleotide long non-coding RNA is filed under the name Lathyrus oleraceus (garden pea). RNAcentral describes it as "Pisum sativum (pea) long non-coding RNA (PSAT_LNC015830)". Lineage: Eukaryota; Viridiplantae; Streptophyta; Magnoliopsida; Fabales; Fabaceae. The record is from RNAcentral.